AAGCUCGUAGUUGAAUUUCGGGGUUAGUAGGCUGGUCGUGCCACAGGUAUGUACUGGUCUCACUGAUUCCUCCUUCCUGAUGAACCGUAAUGCCAUUAAUUUGGUGUUGCGGGGAGACUGGACUGUUACUUUGAAAAAAUUAGAGUGUUUAAAGCAGGCUAACGCUUGAAUACAUUAGCAUGGAAUAAUGAAAUAGGACGUUUGGUCUUAUUUUGUUGGUUUCUAAGAUUGACGUAAUGAUUAAUAGGGAUAGUUGGG
This 258-nucleotide ribosomal RNA is filed under the name uncultured Glomus. RNAcentral's name for it is "partial 18S ribosomal RNA". It matches the Rfam family "Eukaryotic small subunit ribosomal RNA", at positions 624 to 886 of the family's 1831-position model. The record is from RNAcentral. Lineage: Eukaryota; Fungi; Glomeromycota; Glomeromycetes; Glomerales; Glomeraceae.